GCAUAUCAAUAAGCGGAGGAAAAGAAACCAACAGGGAUUGCCUCAGUAACGGCGAGUGAAGCGGCAACAGCUCAAAUUUGAAAUCUGGUCCCCUCUGGGGGCCCGAGUUGUAAUUUGAAGAGGAUGCUUUUGGCGAGGCGCCGUCCGAGUUCCCUGGAACGGGACGCCGCAGAGGGUGAGAGCCCCGUACGGUCGGACGCCGAGCCUCUGUAAAGCUCCUUCGACGAGUCGAGUAGUUUGGGAAUGCUGCUCAAAAUGGGAGGUAAACCCCUUCUAAAGCUAAAUACCGGCCAGAGACCGAUAGCGCACAAGUAGAGUGAUCGAAAGAUGAAAAGCACUUUGAAAAGAGAGUUAAAAAGCACGUGAAAUUGUUAAAAGGGAAGCGCUUGCGACCAGACUUGCGCCCGUCGGAUCAACCGUCGCUUGCGGCGGCGCACUCCGGCGGGCUCAGGCCAGCAUCAGUUCGCUCGGGGGGAGAAAGGCGGCGGGAAUGUAGCUCCUCGGAGUGUUAUAGCCCGCCGUGUAAUACCCUCGGGUGGACUGAGGACCGCGCGUAUGCAAGGAUGCUGGCGUAAUGGUCGUCAGCGACCCGUCUUGAAACACGGACCAAGGAGUCGUCCUAAUAUGCGAGUGUACGGGUGUCAAACCCCUGCGCGUAAUGAAAGUGAACGGAGGUGAGAGCUUCGGCGCAUCAUCGACCGAUCCUGAUGUUAUCGGAUGGAUUUGAGUAAGAGCAUAUUGGGCCGGACCCGAAAGAAGGUGAACUAUGCCUGUGUAGGGUAAAGCCAGAGGAAACUCUGGUGGAGGCUCGCAGCGGUUCUGACGUGCAAAUCGAUCGUCAAACAUGGGCAUGGGGGCGAAAGACUAAUCGAACCUUCUAGUAGCUGGUUUCCGCGA
RNAcentral lists this ribosomal RNA (897 nucleotides) under Scopulariopsis fusca. RNAcentral describes it as "LSU rRNA". It matches the Rfam family "Eukaryotic large subunit ribosomal RNA", at positions 38 to 963 of the family's 3401-position model. Lineage: Eukaryota; Fungi; Ascomycota; Sordariomycetes; Microascales; Microascaceae. The record is from RNAcentral.